GCGCGGCUGAGCCAGGGAGGGCUUUUGCGGGUGCCCCGCAGGUGGAGGAGGCUGAAUCUCAGUAGCUGUAGAGUAUCAUGAAAGGAGGUUGUAGAGAGGUGGGGGUUGGCCUUUUCUCCCAAGUGAAUAAUGGCAGGACCAGAGGAAAUGGUCUGAAGCUGGGGCAGGGGAGGUUUAGAUUAGAUAUUCAGAAGAAUGACUUUGCUGAGAGGGUGGUCAGGCACUGGAACGGCCUGCCCAGGGAGGUGGUGGAGUCACCAUCCCUGGAGGGAAUUAAGAAACGUGUGGACAUGGCUCUUCAGGGCACACUCUAGUGCCCGAGAUUGUUGGGUUGUGUCUGUUGUGUUUUUUUUUUUUUUUGUUUUGUUUUUUGUUUUUUUUUUUUUUUCCUGUGAUUGGACUCGAUGAUCUCAAAGGUCCCUUCCAACCAUGAUCCUGUUAAAAUCUGAUUUCUUUUUUCAGCCCGCACGCUUCCUCCCUGCUACUCCGCUGACCUCCGGCCGGCCUCGGAGAGACUCGUCUCGGCCGUGGGCUGCACCGUGCUCCUGACCGUGCCGCUGCCGCCGAGGGCCAGCCAAGGUGUCUUCUGGGAGUACAAAACUGGCCCGCAGGAAGGGGUCAUCCUCAGCUACGCCUUCGAUAGAGCCCCCAACACCUCUCGCCCCUAUGAGAACCGCACCCGGUUCAACAAGACGGACUUCUCGCUGCAGAUGGUGCUGCAGCGGGGGGACGACCGGCUGUACCGCUUCAGGUCCGAGUCGGAGGCCACGGGCUGGUUCCAGCUGCAUGUUGUCGGUGAGUGAUGGGACGGCGAAGCCUCUGGAAUCGCUGUGGAGGAGGGUGCUCCGGGUCUGGCACCCGGGGAGCCGCGGGUUUCGAUGCUGACGGUCGCUCCGUCUCUCCCAGAACCCCUGUCCGAGCCAGAGAUCGUGGGCAACUCGUCAGUGAAGGCAGGAGCCAACACCAAACUGGUUUGCAACGUCCUGGAAGGGCAGGCAGACUUGUACUGGUGGAAGAAAAACGGGGAGCUGCUGCUGGGAAGCGACCACAUCCAGUUUGUGGACAACAGCACCCUGUGCAUCCUGAAAGCCUCGAUGAACGACAGCGGCUACUACGCCUGCGUGGUCCGCAACCAAGUCAGCCAGAAUGAAACCUCCUUCCUGCUCCACGUCCAGCAUGCUGCCAACGUGCUGUUGCCCGUGAUCCUGGCGUGCGUGGUGGUGGGCUCGCUCGCAGGUGUCUUGGUCUGGUGCAGAAGGGACCACCCGUGUCGCAACAUCUGUAGGUAGAGCUUGACUGGCUGUGCCCUUCCUGCCUUCCCCCGAUGGUGGUGGAUGCUGCC
RNAcentral lists this long non-coding RNA (1342 nucleotides) under Calidris pygmaea (Spoon-billed sandpiper). RNAcentral describes it as "lncRNA (ENSCPGG00000000071.1)". The record is from RNAcentral. Lineage: Eukaryota; Metazoa; Chordata; Aves; Charadriiformes; Scolopacidae.